RNAcentral lists this small RNA (32 nucleotides) under Bombyx mori (domestic silkworm). RNAcentral's name for it is "ovarian small RNA-27212". Lineage: Eukaryota; Metazoa; Arthropoda; Insecta; Lepidoptera; Bombycidae. The record is from RNAcentral.
UCCCAUUUCUUGGCCUGCACGGUUUGUGCGUC